Molecule: ribosomal RNA, 466 nt
Filed under: uncultured bacterium
Lineage: Bacteria
Description: partial 16S ribosomal RNA
Rfam family: Bacterial small subunit ribosomal RNA
Source: RNAcentral
GAUGAACGCUGACAGAAUGCUAACCCAUGCCAGUUAAAUUGAAAUUGGGUUUUUAACCUAGGUUUGGGUGGCGGACGGGUGAGUAACGCGUAAAGAACCUGCCUCACAGCUAGGGACAACAUUUUGAAACGAAUGCUUAUACCUAAUAAUAUGAUUAUAGGGCAACCUAUAAUUAUGAAAGCUAUAAGCGCCUUGAGAGAGCUUUGCGUCCCAUUAGCUAGUUGGAGAGGUAACGGCUCACCCAGGCGAUGAUGGGUAGCCGGCCUGAGAGGGUGAUCGGCCACAAGGGGACUGAGACACGGCCCUUACUCCUACGGGAGGCAGCAGUGGGGAAUAUUGGACAAUGGACCGAGAGUCUGAUCCAGCAAUUCUGUGUGCACGAUGAAGUUUUUCGGAAUGUAAAGUGCUUUCAGUUGGGAAGAAACAAAUGACGGUACCAACAGAAGAAGUGACGGCUAAAUACGUG